RNAcentral lists this ribosomal RNA (274 nucleotides) under uncultured bacterium. RNAcentral describes it as "partial 16S ribosomal RNA". It matches the Rfam family "Bacterial small subunit ribosomal RNA", at positions 523 to 796 of the family's 1533-position model. The record is from RNAcentral.
AUACGGAGGGUGCGAGCGUUAAUCGGAAUUACUGGGCGUAAAGCGUACGUAGGCGGUUUGCUAAGUCAGAUGUGAAAGCCCCGGGCUUAACCUGGGAACUGCAUUUGAUACUGGCAGACUAGAGUAUGAUAGAGGGGGGUAGAAUUCCUGGUGUAGCGGUGAAAUGCGUAGAUAUCAGGAGGAAUACCAGUGGCGAAGGCGGCCCCCUGGAUCAAUACUGACGCUGAGGUACGAAAGCGUGGGGAGCGAACAGGAUUAGAAACCCCGGUAGUCC